GCAGAGAGAAAAGCGGUGCCAAUAAUAUUUGUUUUAACUAGCACUGAGAUGCAAAUCAUUUCAACUCAAAAUAGAAGAGUUCAAUGGAAAGGAAGAGGAGGUAUGAGUUACCCAGUCUCCAGUACAGAAGCCUUAUCUGUGAAGAUAUCCCUUGAAGAGACUAGAAAAACAGGCAUUGCUGCUGGAGCAGAUUAACGCAUCAAUCAUCCACGCUAGAAAAGAACUUAGAGAUGUAGAUAGUGAGCAAUGACCACCACACUUAAAAAACAUUUGUAAAAUAAAAUUGUUAGUGAAGCCAG
This is a long non-coding RNA of Mastomys coucha (southern multimammate mouse), 299 nucleotides long. RefSeq lists it as uncharacterized. Lineage: Eukaryota; Metazoa; Chordata; Mammalia; Rodentia; Muridae. The transcript is spliced from 3 exons. The record is from RefSeq and is a predicted model, not a curated record.